Molecule: ribosomal RNA, 253 nt
Filed under: uncultured bacterium
Lineage: Bacteria
Description: partial 16S ribosomal RNA
Rfam family: Bacterial small subunit ribosomal RNA
Source: RNAcentral
UACGUAGGUGGCGAGCGUUGUCCGGAUUUCCUGGGCGUAAAGAGCGCGCAGGCGGUCGUACAAGUCGCGUGUGAAAGCCCCUGGCUCAACUGGGGAGGGUCACGCGAUACUGUUCGACUUGAAGGCAGGAGAGGGAAGUGGAAUUCCCGGUGUAGUGGUGAAAUGCGUAGAUAUCGGGAGGAACACCAGUGGCGAAGGCGAGUCUCUGGACAUUUCCUGACGCUGAGGCACGAAAGCCAGGGGAGCAAACGGG